RNAcentral lists this ribosomal RNA (279 nucleotides) under uncultured bacterium. RNAcentral describes it as "partial 16S ribosomal RNA". It matches the Rfam family "Bacterial small subunit ribosomal RNA", at positions 506 to 784 of the family's 1533-position model. The record is from RNAcentral.
UGCCAGCCGCCGCGGUAAUACGGAGGGUGCAAGCGUUGUUCGGAUUUACUGGGCGUAAAGCGCGCGCAGGCGGACAUUCAAGUCAGAUGUGAAAUCCCAGGGCUUAACCCUGGAACUGCGUCUGAAACUGAUUGUCUAGAGUCACACAGGGGGUAGGGGAAUUUCACGUGUAGGGGUAAAAUCCGUAGAGAUGUGAAGGAACACCGGUGGCGAAGGCGCCUACCUGGAUGAGUACUGACGCUGAGGCGCGAAAGCGUGGGGAGCAAACAGGAUUAGAUA